Vicia faba (fava bean) is the source of this 390-nucleotide non-coding RNA. Lineage: Eukaryota; Viridiplantae; Streptophyta; Magnoliopsida; Fabales; Fabaceae. The record is from the annotation of a GenBank genome assembly.
UGGUCUGGAGAGUCUCAUUUCAAGAACACAAGUUUCAACGAUGUUGUCAAGUUCACAAGUCCACCAAAACCACCUGAUUCACCAGCGACAUCAAUCUUGGAUCAUCCUCAUGUACCGCUGCCAACCCUGAGUCCAUUGUCUAUAGAUUCAUCUCAGCCACCACCAUUAAAAUGUUCAAGUAUAGUCUCAUCUUUAUCACCACCACCGAAAACACCAUUGAAAGUUCCAGAUAUUGUCUCACGUCAGCGACCACCGUUGAAACCAUCGUAUGAACUUUUACCGUCCAUUCCAAAACAGGAGAUGAUUCACUCUCAUUCUUACAAGUCAUUUUCACAAUAUUAUGAAAUCUUAGAUCUUGAAUCUUCAAUCACUCUCAUAGUCGAGCCUUGA